This 250-nucleotide ribosomal RNA is filed under the name uncultured bacterium. RNAcentral's name for it is "partial 16S ribosomal RNA". It matches the Rfam family "Bacterial small subunit ribosomal RNA", at positions 28 to 282 of the family's 1533-position model. The record is from RNAcentral.
GACGAACGCUGGCGGCGUGCUUAACACAUGCAAGUCGAGCGGUAAGGCCCUUCGGGGUACACGAGCGGCGAACGGGUGAGUAACACGUGGGUGACCUGCCCCCUACUCUGGGAUAAGCCUGGGAAACUGGGUCUAAUACCGGAUAUGACUACAUGUCGCAUGGUGUGUGGUGGAAAGUUUUUUCGGUGGGGGAUGGGCCCGCGGCCUAUCAGCUUGUUGGUGGGGUGAUGGCCUACCAAGGCGACGACGG